AUACGGAGGAUGCGAGCGUUAUCCGGAUUUAUUGGGUUUAAAGGGAGCGUAGGUGGGAUAUUAAGUCAGCUGUGAAAGUUUGGGGCUCAACCUUAAAAUUGCAGUUGAUACUGGUUUCCUUGAGUACGGUAUAGGUGGGCGGAAUUCGUGGUGUAGCGGUGAAAUGCUUAGAUAUCACGAAGAACUCCGAUCGCGAAGGCAGCUCACCGGGCCGGAACUGACACUGAUGCUCGAAAGUGCGGGUAUCAAACAGGAUUAGAUACCCUGGUAGUCCGCACAGUAAACGAUGAAUACUCGCUGUUUGCGAUACACUGUAAGCGGCCAAGCGAAAGCGUUAAGUAUUCCACCUGGGGAGUACGCCGGCAACGGUGAAACUCAAAUGAAUUGACGGGG
Molecule: ribosomal RNA, 393 nt
Filed under: uncultured bacterium
Lineage: Bacteria
Description: partial 16S ribosomal RNA
Rfam family: Bacterial small subunit ribosomal RNA
Source: RNAcentral